AAAUUUUGAAGUCGCUUGUUGUUUGCGUCACUACCGCUUACUUGACUUCCACCGCAGUCAGAAUAACGCAGCUAGCCGCUAAGCUAAGCUAACCCGCACAGAGAGCGGACACUGCGGGGCUGCGGAGCCGCCGUGAAGAUGUCCAGAUAUGGUCGGUACGGAGGAGAGACAAAGGUGUACGUGGGGAACUUGGGGAUGGGGGCAGGGAAAGGUGAGCUGGAGCGAGCCUUCGGGUACUAUGGACCCCUCAGGACUGUCUGGAUUGCCAGGAACCCUCCAGGCUUCGCUUUCGUAGAGUUCGAAGACCCGCGAGACGCUGACGACGCUGUUCGUGGGUUAGACGGAAAGGUCGUCUGUGGGAGUCGUGUCCGGGUCGAACUCUCCACUGGGAUGCCUCGCCGCUCUCGGUACGACCGACCUCCGACCCGUCGACCUUUUGACCCCAACGAUAAGUGUUACGAGUGCGGAGAGAAAGGUCACUACGCCUAUGACUGUCACCGCUACAGCCGCCGCAGCCGGAGGAGCAGGUCUAGGUCUCGCUCCAGGUCCCGUGGGAGGCGAUUCUCCCGAAGCAGGAGUCGCAGCAGGAGCCGAGGGAGGAGGUCCGGGUCUUUCUCUCCUCGCCGCUCCCGCUCAGUCUCUCCCAGACGAUCCAGAUCUGCCACACCCAGGAGGUCCAGAACCAGGUCCAGGUCCAGAUCCAGGUCUAGCUCCAGGUCCAGGUCGGGGUCUCGAGGCCGGAGCAGGUGGGGGAUAUCAGAACGUUCUAUCUUGUUCACAGUCAGAGUCCUGUUGUGUCCAGGUGUCCAGUGUCCAGUGUCCAGGUGUUCAGGUGUUCAGUGUUCAGUGUCUGAGUGUCCAGGUGUUCAGGUGUUCAGUGUUCAGUGUCCAGGUGUUCAGUGUCCAGGUGUCCAGUGUUCAGUGUCCAGUGUCCAGGUGUUCAGGUGUCCAGUGUCCAGUGUCCAGGUGUUCAGUGUUCAGUGUCCAGGUGUUCAGUGUUCAGGUGUCCAGUGUCCAGGUGUCCAGGUGUUCAGUGUCCAGGUGUUCAGGUGUCUAGUGUUCAGUGUCUGAGUGUCCAGGUGUCCAGGUGUUCAGUGUCCAGGUGUCCAGGUGUUCAGGUGUUCAGUGUUCAGUGUCCAGUGUUCAGUGUUCAGUGUCCAGGUGUUCAGGUGUUCAGUGUUCAGGUGUCCAGUGUCCAGUGUCCAGUGUCCAGGUGUCCAGGUGUUCAUUGUCCAGUGUUCAGUGUCCAAGUGUUCAGUGUUCAGUGUCCAGGUGUUUUGUAGUAUUUCAUUGUUAAACUCUCAUGAUUAUAAACUGUGUUCUCAGG
Molecule: RNA transcript, 1327 nt
Organism: Lates calcarifer (barramundi perch)
Lineage: Eukaryota; Metazoa; Chordata; Actinopteri; Centropomidae
Gene name: serine/arginine-rich splicing factor 7
Exons: 8
Source: RefSeq, a predicted model, not a curated record